CCUACGGGCGGCAGCAGUGGGGAAUAUUGGUCAAUGUGUGCAAGUCUGACCCAGCAAAGCCGCGUGAAGGAAGAAGGCUCUCGGGUUUGAAACUUCCUUUUGCAGGGAAGUGUAGAAGACGGUAUCUGACCAAUAAUCCACGGCUAACUACGUGCCAGCAGCUGCGUUAAUACGUAGGUGGCAAGCGUUAUCCGGAUUUAUUGGGUGUAAAGGGCGUGUAGCCGGGUUGACAAGUCAGAUGUGAAAUCUUGGGGCUUAACCGCAGAACUGCAUUUGAAACUGUUGAUCUUGAGUACAGGGGGGGCAGAUGGAAUUCAUGGUGUAGCGGUGAAAUGCGUAGAUAUUAGGAGGAACACCGGUGGCGAAGGCGGUUUGCUGGACAGCAACUGACGGUGAGGCGCGAAAGCGUGGGGAGCAAACAGGAUUAGAUACCCUUGUAGUC
This 442-nucleotide ribosomal RNA is filed under the name uncultured bacterium. Its description in RNAcentral is "partial 16S ribosomal RNA". It matches the Rfam family "Bacterial small subunit ribosomal RNA", at positions 338 to 795 of the family's 1533-position model. The record is from RNAcentral.